AGAGUUUGAUCCUGGCUCAGGAUGAACGCUGGCGGUAUGCGUAACACAUGCAAGUCGAACGAAGUUUUUCGGAACUUAGUGGCGGACGGGUGAGUAACGCGUGAGAAUCUGCCUUCAGGUUCGGGACAACCACUGGAAACGGUGGCUAAUACCGAAUGUGCAGCAAUGUGAAAAAUUUAUUGCCUGAAGAUGAGCUCGCGUCUGAUUAGCUAGUAGGUGUGGUAAGAGCGCACCUAGGCGACGAUCAGUAGCUGGUCUGAGAGGAUGAUCAGCCACACUGGGACUGAGACACGGCCCAGACUCCUACGGGAGGCAGCAGUGGGGAAUUUUCCGCAAUGGGCGNAAAGCCUGACGGAGCAAGACCGCGUGAGGGAGGAAGGCUCUUGGGUUGUAAACCUCUUUUGUCAGGGAAGAACACAAUGACGGUACCUGAAGAAUCAGCAUCGGCUAACUCCGUGCCAGCAGCCGCGGUAAUACGGGGGAUGCAAGCGUUAUCCGGAAUUAUUGGGCGUAAAGCGUCCGCAGGUGGCUAAUCAAGUCUGCUGUCAAAGAUUGGGGCUUAACCCCAAAAAGGCAGUGGAAACUGAGAAGCUAGAGUGCAGUAGGGGUAGAGGGAAUUCCCGGUGUAGCGGUGAAAUGCGUAGAGAUCGGGAAGAACAUCGGUGGCGAAAGCGCUCUACUGGACUGCAACUGACACUCAGGGACGAAAGCUAGGGGAGCGAAUGGGAUUAGAUACCCCCGUAGUCC
This 747-nucleotide ribosomal RNA is filed under the name uncultured cyanobacterium. RNAcentral describes it as "bacterial SSU rRNA". It matches the Rfam family "Bacterial small subunit ribosomal RNA", at positions 8 to 796 of the family's 1533-position model. Lineage: Bacteria; Bacillati; Cyanobacteriota. The record is from RNAcentral.